UGCAAGUCGAACGGAGCACCCUUGACUGAGGUUUCGGCCAAAUGAUAGGAAUGCUUAGUGGCGGACUGGUGAGUAACGCGUGAGGAACCUGCCUUUCAGAGGGGGACAACAGUUGGAAACGACUGCUAAUGCCGCAUGAUGCGUAACUGGGACAUCCCGGAUACGCCAAAGAUUUUAUCGCUGAAAGAUGGCCUCGCGUCUGAUUAGAUAGUUGGCGGGGUAACGGCCCACCAAGUCGACGAUCAGUAGCCGGACUGAGAGGUUGACCGGCCACAUUGGGACUGAGAUACGGCCCAGACUCCUACGGGAGGCAGCAGUGGGGAAUAUUGGGCAAUGGGCGCAAGCCUGACCCAGCAACGCCGCGUGAAGGAAGAAGGCUUUCGGGUUGUAAACUUCUUUUAAGUGGGAAGAGUAGAAGACGGUACCACUUGAAUAAGCCACGGCUAACUACGUGCCAGCAGCCGCGGUAAUACGUAGGUGGCAAGCGUUGUCCGGAUUUACUGGGUGUAAAGGGCGUGCAGCCGGGCAUGCAAGUCAGAUGUGAAAUCUCAGGGCUUAACCCUGAAACUGCAUUUGAAACUGUAUGUCUUGAGUGCCGGAGAGGUAAUCGGAAUUCCUUGUGUAGCGGUGAAAUGCGUAGAUAUAAGGAAGAACACCAGUGGCGAAGGCGGAUUACUGGACGGUAACUGACGGUGAGGCGCGAAAGCGUGGGGAGCGAACAGGAUU
RNAcentral lists this ribosomal RNA (726 nucleotides) under uncultured bacterium. RNAcentral describes it as "bacterial SSU rRNA". It matches the Rfam family "Bacterial small subunit ribosomal RNA", at positions 56 to 779 of the family's 1533-position model. The record is from RNAcentral.